GUAGGUGAACCUGCGGAAGGAUCAUUACCGAGUUAGGGUCCUCAAAGGCCCGAUCUCCCAACCCUUUGCUUAUUAUACCUUGUGUUGCUUCGGUAGGUCUGGCUCGUCCUACCGGAGGACCGUAAAACGUCCUCUGGAGAGUGCCUACCGAUAGCCCAAACCAAAAACUCUUGAACAAAACAUGUCUUGUCUGAGUAAACAAAAAAAUUAAAGCAAAACUUUCAACAACGGAUCUCUUGGUUCUG
This 245-nucleotide unclassified non-coding RNA is filed under the name rhizosphere metagenome. RNAcentral describes it as "partial ribosomal RNA internal transcribed spacer region". The record is from RNAcentral.